This 67-nucleotide transfer RNA is filed under the name Schistosoma mansoni. The record is from RNAcentral. Lineage: Eukaryota; Metazoa; Platyhelminthes; Trematoda; Strigeidida; Schistosomatidae.
UCAGUGGCCGAGUGGAUAAUGCGAUUGCGUUUGAAGCGAAAGGUACUGGGUUCGAGUCCUAGAAUGA